This 327-nucleotide ribosomal RNA is filed under the name uncultured eukaryote. Its description in RNAcentral is "partial 18S ribosomal RNA". It matches the Rfam family "Eukaryotic small subunit ribosomal RNA", at positions 1470 to 1796 of the family's 1831-position model. The record is from RNAcentral.
CCCUUAGAUGUCCGGGGCCGCACGCGCGCUACAAUGGAUGAAUCAACGCGUCAUCCUGGCCCGAAAGGGUUGGGGAACCGCUGAACCUCAUCCGUGGUUGGGAUUGGGGUUUGUAAUUAUUCCCCAUGAACUAGGAAUUCCCAGUAAGCGCGAGUCAUAAGCUCGCGUUGAUUACGUCCCUGCCCUUUGUACACACCGCCCGUCGCUACUACCGAUUGGAUGGUUUAGUGAGGUCCUCGGAUUGGUCACGGCACGGUGGCAACACUGCGUCGGUGUGCCGAGAAGACGAUCAAACUUGAUCAUCUAGAGGAAGUAAAAGUCGUAACA